RNAcentral lists this ribosomal RNA (255 nucleotides) under uncultured bacterium. RNAcentral describes it as "partial 16S ribosomal RNA". It matches the Rfam family "Bacterial small subunit ribosomal RNA", at positions 793 to 1055 of the family's 1533-position model. The record is from RNAcentral.
GUCCACGCCGUAAACGAUGGAUACUAGCUGUUGGGCGCAAGCUCAGUGGCUAAGCGAAAGUGAUAAGUAUCCCACCUGGGGAGUACGAACGCAAGUUUGAAACUCAAAGGAAUUGACGGGGGCCCGCACAAGCGGUGGAGCAUGUGGUUUAAUUCGAUGAUACGCGAGGAACCUUACCAAGGCUUAAAUGUAGAUUGACAGGACUGGAAACAGUUUUUUCUUCGGACAAUUUACAAGGUGCUGCAUGGUUGUCGU